GGGCCUAUAGCUCAGCUGGCUAGAGCGCACGACUGAUAAUCGUGAGGUCGAUGGUUCGAGUCCAUCUAGGCCCACCA
Molecule: transfer RNA, 77 nt
Filed under: Clostridia bacterium
Lineage: Bacteria; Bacillati; Bacillota; Clostridia
Also listed under: 3 other names
Description: tRNA-Ile
Rfam family: tRNA
About the family: Transfer RNA (tRNA) molecules are approximately 80 nucleotides in length.
Source: RNAcentral